Molecule: microRNA precursor, 196 nt
Filed under: Oryza punctata
Lineage: Eukaryota; Viridiplantae; Streptophyta; Magnoliopsida; Poales; Poaceae
Description: MIR812 microRNA precursor family
Rfam family: MIR812 microRNA precursor family
Source: Rfam by way of RNAcentral
AAAAAGUAUAGCUCUCUACUAUUCAUAUCCAAUGUUUAACCGUUCAUUUUAUUUAAAGUUUUUUUUAUGAUUAGUAUUUUUAUUUUCAUCAAACAUGAAUAGUACUUUGUGAUUAUUUUUUUAAUUUUUUCAUAAAUUUUUUAAAUACGAUGAACGGUUAAACGUUGGACAUUGAGUAUCUACGACUGCGCUUAAA